GUUUAUUUUUUCUAGAUAGACGAUAAGACCCUAAAACCUUUAUCGAGCGCCCAACCCUCUUUUUGCUGGGGCGGCAAAUUAUAACUCCUUCUGUAGAAAAACAUAUUGAAUGAAUAUUUAACCAUCUUAAAUUAAACCCAAAAAGGGACUUUAGGGAUAACAGCAUAAUUUUUAUAUAGAGUUACUUAUCGACGUAAAAGAUUAUGACCUCGAGGUUGAAUUGAUAAAACUUUACUAACCAGAUGUAAAAAUAUGUGGGUCGGUUCGACCUUUAACUUAUCACAGGAUC
This 289-nucleotide ribosomal RNA is filed under the name Trachelipus aegaeus. Its description in RNAcentral is "partial 16S ribosomal RNA". The record is from RNAcentral. Lineage: Eukaryota; Metazoa; Arthropoda; Malacostraca; Isopoda; Trachelipodidae.